Molecule: ribosomal RNA, 502 nt
Filed under: Nesophrosyne lineata
Lineage: Eukaryota; Metazoa; Arthropoda; Insecta; Hemiptera; Cicadellidae
Description: partial 16S ribosomal RNA
Source: RNAcentral
UAAGAAUUUAAAAGUCGAACAGACUUAUUUAUUAAGACUACUGCUUCUUAAAAUUUUCUUAAUUCAACAUCGAGGUCGCAAAAUAUAAUAUAGAUGUGAACUCCCCAUUAAAAUUACGCUGUUAUCCCUAAGGUAACUUAAUCUUAUUCUCCUGCGAUUGGGAUCUAAAAUUACAUAAAAAAAUGAACAUAAAAGCUAAAGUUAACUAUUUAACCACCACCCCAGCAAAAUAUAAAUUGAUAUUAAAAAGUAUAUAAAUUAAAACCCAAUAAAAUCAAAUUAUAUAAAGUUCUAUAGGGUCUUAUCGUCCCAAUAAAUCAAUAAAGCAUUUUAACUUUAAACUUAAAUUUUAACAUUUAAAAAAAUAAAAUAUAAUUCUCAUACAUCCAUUCAUACAAGCUUUCAAUUAAAAAACUAAUUACUAUGCUACCUUUGCACAGUCAAAAUACUGCAGCCAUUUAGAACUAAAACCAUAGGGCAGAAGAUACUUUUUACAAAACCA